AAUAGAAAUCAUGUUGGAGGUGAAGCUAGCUCUUGCAGCUCAUUUCGGAGAGGGAGACUUGAACUGGGUAAAGCUUUUCAAUGGGCUUCAAUCAAUCGAAAUACCGACUAAGAUCCCCAAAUUUAUUUCCUUGUUGUUGCAGUCUCAAUUCCCCAUCACAGCAGUAGAUUGAUUAGCCGGUGUGCAGGGUUGGAAAGCUGGUGCAAUUCCUCUUCUGGCUUUGGUUACUUCACUACCGCCAAACUCGACCGCUAAUUUUGGGUGACGCUUCUUGGUUGGCAUUGCCUGUCAGCUUUGGGUUUUGUAUGGCUUGUUUUAGAGGUGGUGAUUCAGCAGAGGCUUUGACAGCCGUGCCUCAUGUAGAUUGUGGCUUUGAAACUCGGCCGUUCAUGAACGACCAUUUGUUCCAAUGCUUAGAAAUUGCAGCAUAUAAGAUUGCAUUAAGACUCAGGCCAUUCAUGAAGGACCGUAUUUGCCUUAAUGCCUCAGACAAAGAAACUUGCAGGAGGUUGUUCGUGAACAACCUAUUCCAAUUCAUCAGGGAGAGCUUUGAGCAUUGAAAUGAGGUCGUUCGUGAACAACCGUUUUGCUUCAAUGCCUUAAAGUAUUUGCGAGCAGCAACGAUGUCAUUUCGACGAAGAACUCUAAUAACAGUGGUCGUUCAUGAACGGCCUAUUAGAGCUUUGGAGGUCACAAGACAUAGAGGAUUAAUUGGAGAGGCUUCACAGGGAAGGCAGAUGUAUAUCUGCAGAUUGCUUUUCUUUUCUGUGCGUCUCCUCCUCUCUGUAUUUCUUUUCUUCUUUUGCUCUAUAGCGUCUUCCUCUCUCCUCUGCUGCGUAUCUUUGUAUUUCUCUCUCCUCUGUAGUCUUUUUUGCUCAGUGUUUUCUGCCCUCCGUAGUGUUUUUUUUUUUUCCUCUCUUCUCUUCACACCACUACCUUUAUAUAGUAGUGUACUUGCUGAUCGGAUAGCUACCAGCCUCCCCAUACUUGUAAUUUAAAAUUUGAAUGAGAUGUGUUUAUCUCCAACUAUAUUGCAUGUCAGUGUAUCUAUCUUUGACGUUUAAUUGGUCAAACUUUGACUAGCAAUAUAUCUUCUUUGCUUGCCGUUUGAAUUUA
Molecule: long non-coding RNA, 1116 nt
Organism: Rosa chinensis
Lineage: Eukaryota; Viridiplantae; Streptophyta; Magnoliopsida; Rosales; Rosaceae
Exons: 2
Source: RefSeq, a predicted model, not a curated record